Long non-coding RNA from Brassica oleracea var. oleracea, 1483 nucleotides. RefSeq lists it as uncharacterized. Lineage: Eukaryota; Viridiplantae; Streptophyta; Magnoliopsida; Brassicales; Brassicaceae. The transcript has 3 exons. The record is from RefSeq and is a predicted model, not a curated record.
AUAAUUAUUGCUUUUUCUGUAAUCUCUGCAUCCAAACCUUCUUUUUUUUUUGUAAUUUUCUUCAUUUGCUUUUCUUUUCACAAGGAGACUGUCAAUACCGGUCUUGCCUUUCAGAAGAUUACGUUUCCGCUUGGUUUAACACAUGAAGAUCCCCAACUUACCAUAUAUAUAUAUAUAUAUAUAUAUAUAUAUAUAGCCGAGGAAGAAGUAGAGUGAAUAGAAGGUGUUGGAACCCAUGAGAAGUGGCCAAAAAAAAGUAUGGGUCAAAACAACUGAAAGAAAAAAAUUAAAUGACUGUGAGAGAGUUAGGAGAAGAGGGAAGUAGUUUAAAGUGGAUAUUCAGAGAUUCUCCUCUUUACUGUUCGGUGUUGAUUCUCUGACUUAGUAGGGUUUAGUAAAAGCUGUCAUGUUUUACUUUCUGCUAUAUUUUUAAUUCAUGAGAUUAUCUUUCCCUUCUGUAGAAGAUGUUAAAAUCUUGUAUAGAAUAUCGACAGCCAAAAUAAUCAUAUGGUUAUGUUGUUAAACCAAUGGAUUGGAGUGAUGUUAACGCCUUCCAUAUUAAAGAUGUUCCUGAUGUGGACAAUGGAGAUCAACCUAUGAACGAGGACGCACCAGUUCCUCUCAGUGACAUUGAUGCUCAUGUGCCGCCAAUAGGAAAAGCAAGCGACCAAAAGUUGUUUCGAGGGGUCUAAUGGGAGAGUACCAGUGCGAUAAACGCUUUAUUACUCGUGCUUGGAAAGCUCAUGUAAACGCCAUUUCCCAAACAUUGAUUACGCUGCAAAAUUUGGUGUACUCUCAAAUGUUAUCGAUGUGGGUAACCUAAGUCUCGACAGCAGAGAGUUGUCUGCAAUUGUUGACAUGUCCUCCCAUUUACCUGCCAAGGUUGUAGAUGUGCUCAUUCAUCACACUCGAUCUAUGUUUCUAUCCAAUUCCGAACAGAUUCAAUCCAGGAACUCUGUUUUCCUCGACAAAAAGUUUGUUUCACUCCUUGCUAAGACAUUUACCAAGUUCUCCAAGUCAUCUAAGAAAGAGAGUUUCCGAUUCCCUCCCUCUUUGUGUGAAUAUGUAGUUGGAGAUUGCCCAAUUAUUGAAGCUAUUCGUCUCUAUUUCCCCUUUAAUUUUGUCAAAAAAGCAUUGGGUUGGGGUCUGCUUUGACUGUCGCUUUUGCAGGUUAUAGUGUUAGAUUGCAACACCUCUCUGAGGAUGGACGGAAUGAUCACCAAUGAAUUGCACCCCAUUUCUCAAAUGUUUCCUUACCUACUGAGACAAGCCGGGAAACAACUUAGUGCCAAAUAUUUGAAGACAUUAACCAUUGAGAGACCAUGUAAUGGGCACCAUAACCACAGCUAGUUUGAAUCUGGUAACACGGCUAUUCUUCUAAUUCAAGCUCCCGCUGUUGGGGGUGUUGAUGUCUGUAAUUACAUUACUCCAGAUGUGCUUGACGUUAAGGUGGAAAGAAUUGCAGUCAUGAUCUACGAAGAAA